GGGCGAUUGGCUCAGUGGUAGAGCACUCGCUUCACACGCGAGGGGUCACUGGUUCGAACCCAGUAUCGCCCACCG
This 75-nucleotide transfer RNA is filed under the name Candidatus Nanopelagicales bacterium. RNAcentral describes it as "tRNA-Val". It matches the Rfam family "tRNA". From Rfam's summary of the family: Transfer RNA (tRNA) molecules are approximately 80 nucleotides in length. RNAcentral also lists the same sequence under 1 other name. Lineage: Bacteria; Bacillati; Actinomycetota; Actinomycetes; Candidatus Nanopelagicales. The record is from RNAcentral.